GGUAUGUUAAGAAGAGUACCAGCUGUCUAACAAAAAAAUAGUUGAAAUCUUGAGAAUCUAUUUUCAUACUUGCAUCCAAAUUUUAAUUAUUUUUUUUAUUUACUUCUUUUCUUAUUAAUCUAAGUAGUCUUUUAAUCAGCGUUCUUACUACUAUCUAAUCUAAAACUAACCAACUCAAUCGUAACUAACACGAUCCCUAUGGAUACAAUCCUAACUCACACUAUCUACAUAGUAGUGAAUUAGGUUUAUUUUUGACCACCUAUGAUAGCGAUCAAGGAGCCCCCA
Molecule: long non-coding RNA, 285 nt
Filed under: Elaeis guineensis (African oil palm)
Lineage: Eukaryota; Viridiplantae; Streptophyta; Magnoliopsida; Arecales; Arecaceae
Description: long non-coding RNA (EGUI_LNC031152)
Source: RNAcentral